This 392-nucleotide ribosomal RNA is filed under the name uncultured bacterium. RNAcentral describes it as "partial 16S ribosomal RNA". It matches the Rfam family "Bacterial small subunit ribosomal RNA", at positions 523 to 918 of the family's 1533-position model. The record is from RNAcentral.
AUACGGAGGAUCCGAGCGUUAUCCGGAUUUAUUGGGUUUACAGGGUGCGCAGGCGGCCAUUUAAGUCAGCGGUUAAAUCGUGGGGCUCAACCCCAUUCUGCCGUUGAUACUGGGUGGCUUGAUUGCGGUCGAGGUUGGCGGAAUUCGUUGUGUAGCGGUGAAAUGCAUAGAUAUGACGAAGAACACCGAUUGCGUAGGCAGCUGACCAGACCGCAAAUGACGCUCAUGCACGAAAGUGCGGGGAUCGAACAGGAUUAGAUACCCUGGUAGUCCGCACAGUAAACGAUGAAUACUUGUUUUCGGCGAUAUAAUGUCGGAGGCAAAGCGAAAGCGAUAAGUAUUCCACCUGGGGAGUACGCCGGCAACGGUGAAACUCAAAUGAAUUGACGGGG